RNAcentral lists this ribosomal RNA (648 nucleotides) under Eupompha schwarzi. RNAcentral describes it as "partial large subunit ribosomal RNA". The stretch from base 109 to 474 matches the Rfam family "Bacterial large subunit ribosomal RNA", at positions 2072 to 2648 of the family's 2925-position model. The record is from RNAcentral. Lineage: Eukaryota; Metazoa; Arthropoda; Insecta; Coleoptera; Meloidae.
AAUCAUAGAUUUUUUAAUUGAAAGCUGGAAUGAAUGGUCGGAUGAGGGGAUUCUGUCUCACUUUAAAUUUAUUUGAAUUUUAUUUUUAAGUCAAAAAGCUUAAAUUUCAUAAAAAGACGAGAAGACCCUGUAGAGUUUAAUAGGUUUAUAGUUUAAUGUUUGAAGGGUUUUAAAUGUAUUAUACUAUAGUCUAUUUUGUUGGGGUGACAUUAGAAUUUAGUAAACUUCUAUUAAUUUUUGCAUUGAUUGAUGAAUUGAGGAUCCUGAAUUUUGGAUUUAAAGAAUAAAUUACCUCAGGGAUAACAGCGUAAUUUCUUUGGAGAGUUCUAAUCGAUAAAGGGGAUUGCGACCUCGAUGUUGGAUUAAAAUUAAAUCUUGGUGCAGAGGCUAGGGAUUUUGAGUCUGUUCGACUUUUAAAAUUUUACAUGAUCUGAGUUUAAACCGGCGUGAGCCAGGUUGGUUUCUAUCUUUUAUAGUUAAAAUAUUUUAGUACGAAAGGACCAGAUAUUUGAAUAAUAUUUUAUAUUUGAAUGAGAUUGUUAUUUUGGCAGAUAGUGCGAUAGAUUUAGAAUCUUUAUAUGUAUUGUGUUACAAAUAACAAUUUAUUUUUUUGAUUUGUUUUUGUUGUUACUUCAAUGUUGAUUUAAU